This 483-nucleotide ribosomal RNA is filed under the name uncultured bacterium. RNAcentral describes it as "partial 16S ribosomal RNA". It matches the Rfam family "Bacterial small subunit ribosomal RNA", at positions 30 to 506 of the family's 1533-position model. The record is from RNAcentral.
AUUGAACGCUGGCGGCAGGCCUAACACAUGCAAGUCGAGCGGUAGAGAGAAGCUUGCUUCUCUUGAGAGCGGCGGACGGGUGAGUAAUGCCUAGGAAUCUGCCUGGUAGUGGGGGAUAACGUUCGGAAACGGACGCUAAUACCGCAUACGUCCUACGGGAGAAAGCAGGGGACCUUCGGGCCUUGCGCUAUCAGAUGAGCCUAGGUCGGAUUAGCUAGUUGGUGGGGUAAUGGCUCACCAAGGCGACGAUCCGUAACUGGUCUGAGAGGAUGAUCAGUCACACUGGAACUGAGACACGGUCCAGACUCCUACGGGAGGCAGCAGUGGGGAAUAUUGGACAAUGGGCGAAAGCCUGAUCCAGCCAUGCCGCGUGUGUGAAGAAGGUCUUCGGAUUGUAAAGCACUUUAAGUUGGGAGGAAGGGCAGUAAAUUAAUACUUUGCUGUUUCGACGUUACCGACAGAAUAAGCACCGGCUAACUCUGU